RNAcentral lists this long non-coding RNA (830 nucleotides) under Olea europaea subsp. europaea. The record is from RNAcentral. Lineage: Eukaryota; Viridiplantae; Streptophyta; Magnoliopsida; Lamiales; Oleaceae.
CUUCACCAUCUCACCCUAUCUUGCCCUACCCUAACCCCACCCCACCACAACCAUCGCUGCCACAAACCACCACGUCGCCACGCUGUACCUAACCCCAAUCCACUAUAACCACCACCUCUGCCGCUCAUACACCAUACCUUAAAUCACCGCCACACCAUCACUCCCUGCACCACCGCCUAUAGAAUCACCACCUCACCAUCACAUCAAUAGCUUCGCUUACAUGCCUUACUGCCAUGAAAUAAACACAAAUCCAAUAGCUAUCUCCAUGUAGUGCCACCACCAUCAACACUAGUCCGCCUUCAAACAUCAUCCCCCUCGCGCCUUGCUGCCAUGAAAUAAACACAAAUCCCGUAGCUACCUCUGUGCGGCGCCACCACCAUCAACACCAAUCCGCCUUCAAACACCAUCCCCCGCGCGCCUUGCUGCCAUGAAAUAAACACAAAUCCCAUAGCUACCUCCGUGCGGCGCCACCACCAUCAACACCAAUCCGCCUUCAAACACCACUGCCCGCGCGCUUUGCUGCUUGCACUGUGUCAUCACUGCAGAUUCGGGUUGCUAUAGCAACAACGACGGCGACAGCGACGAUUUGAGAGUAGAGAGAUGGAUGGUGAAGACUGAGAGAAAAAAGGAGAGGAGAGGACGACGGUGCACAAUGCUGAAGAGAGAAUGAAGAGGAGCAAGGAGAGAGAAACUUCAAUGUAGGGUUUGAAUGGAGGGAAAUAUAUGGUAGGAUGUAUUUAUCUAGAUUAAUUUAUAAUAUUUAAAUUAUCUGAUUUUUGUAUAAAUAAACAUUACAUCUUGUUUUAGAAUUUAGAUCUUUUAAAGUAGGC